This 711-nucleotide ribosomal RNA is filed under the name Rhizophagus manihotis. Its description in RNAcentral is "eukaryotic LSU rRNA". It matches the Rfam family "Eukaryotic large subunit ribosomal RNA", at positions 65 to 626 of the family's 3401-position model. The record is from RNAcentral. Lineage: Eukaryota; Fungi; Glomeromycota; Glomeromycetes; Glomerales; Glomeraceae.
AUAACAAUGAUUCCCCUAGUAACUGCGAGUGAAGAGGGACAAGCUCAAAUUUUAAAUCCGUCGGGUUUCACCUGACCGAGUUGUAAUUUGAAGAGGCGUUUUCCGCGUUUUUGAUCAGUCCAAGUCCUUUGGGAUAGGGCAUCAUGGAGGGUGAGAAUCCCGUUCGGCUGAUCAGAUUCGCUUUACGAUACGUCAUCUAAGAGUCAAGUUGUUUGGGAAUGCAGCUUAAAAUGGGAGGUAAAUUUCUCCUAAGGCUAAAUAACGGCGAGAGACCGAUAGCGAACAAGUACCGUGAGGGAAAGAUGAAAAGAACUUUGAAAAGAGAAUUAAACAGUACGUGAAAUUGUUGAAAGGGAAACGAUUGAAGCCAGUCGUACCGGUGGGUAAUCAGCCUUUCGUCGUGAUUAUGUGGAGCGUGAGGAGUUAAACGCCCUCAUGCCUGCAUAUUCGUGUUCUUUGGGUGUACUUACCCGCAUGGUAGGUUAACAUCAAUUUCGAACGUCAUAAAAUGGUUGGAGGAAUGUAGCUUCGAUCUCGUAUUGAAGUGUUAUAGCCUUCGGCAGAUGUGAUGAUCGGGAUUGAGGAUUGCAACGGAUACCCUCCGGGGCUACCCGUCUGAUCUCUGAAAGUUGCUCUGGUGCCGAAAGCUCGCUUACGGUCAUCAAAGUUGACGUUCAACAGGUUAGAACGGGAUAAAUUCGUUAAGGAUGU